This is a long non-coding RNA of Sapajus apella (tufted capuchin), 685 nucleotides long. RefSeq lists it as uncharacterized. Lineage: Eukaryota; Metazoa; Chordata; Mammalia; Primates; Cebidae. The transcript has 2 exons. The record is from RefSeq and is a predicted model, not a curated record.
CCUCUCCUCCCACACAACCUCAGGGGUGAGGAUCACGCCACAGUGCCUGCAGCUGUAAGAGGGCAUCUAAGCCAGCAUGUGCCCAACAAGCAGAACAGGUGGAAAGCCCAACAGCUUCCCAAGGGGCUGCCAGCUGAUGCCAAGCCAGUGGGAAUAUAGUUGGAGCUGCAGGCAGCCAUCUUUGCCACCAGCUCCAGGACUUGCCUGGCAAUGAGACCCACAGAAAGGAAGGCAAAGCUGAGAAAUGAAGGUAGAUGGAUUCCUGGCAAAGUUGUUUGAGCAUUUGGACUCAGCCAUGCCUGAAACUAUUGCCUAUACACUUUUCAGUUAUUUGAAACAAUAAAAAUAAAUUCUCUUUUUUUGCUGAAGCCAAUUUGAGGUGGUUUUUUUUUUUUUGUCAUUUGCAACCAAACCAAUCUCUCUAAGAAUUUGAAUAUCUAAGAAUUGGGUUUAUUGUUGCAUGUGAGGCUUAUAAGAUCCAAGCAUCAAUGUCCUUUUUCCUUCACCUCACCUCUCUGAGCUUUCAGAAAUUGUCACCUAACCUAGGCCAGAGCCCCAUCACAGACUGAGCACACGACAUUUGUUUCAUGAUGAAGUUGAGAAAAAUGGUUUUGGAGGAAAGUGAAAGGCAAAAAAAAAAAAAAAAAAGAUAAAUGCUUGUCACUGAUGUGCAAUGACACAUUAA